This 499-nucleotide ribosomal RNA is filed under the name uncultured bacterium. Its description in RNAcentral is "partial 16S ribosomal RNA". It matches the Rfam family "Bacterial small subunit ribosomal RNA", at positions 28 to 507 of the family's 1533-position model. The record is from RNAcentral.
GACGAACGCUGGCGGCGUGCCUAAUACAUGCAAGUCGAGCGAAGAGUUUCUGGUUCUUGCACUAGCAAAACUUAGCGGCGAACGAGUGAGUAACACGUAAAGAACCUGCCUCAUAGACAGGACCAACUAUAGGAAACGAUAGCUAAUACUGGAAAACAGUACUUCUCGCAUGAGAGAGAUUUAAAAGUUGGUUAUGCUAACGAUAUGAGAUGGCUUUGCGUGGCAGUAGCUAGUUGGUGGGGUAAAGGUCCACCAGGGCGACGAUGCAUAGCCGACGUGAGAGAGUGGUCGGCCACCUGGGAGCUGAGACACCGCCCAUGCUCCUGCGGGAGGCCGCAGUAGGCAAUCGUACGCAGUGGGCGAGAGCCUUACGGAGCGGCCCGACGUGAGUGAAGGAAGAUUUCGGUUCGUAAUGCUCUGCUGUUAGGUGAGAACGGAUUUGUAGUAUGACUACGUGUGAGUGACGGUACCUAGCAAGAAAGCAACGGCUAACUACGUG